This 258-nucleotide ribosomal RNA is filed under the name uncultured Actinomycetales bacterium. Its description in RNAcentral is "partial 16S ribosomal RNA". It matches the Rfam family "Bacterial small subunit ribosomal RNA", at positions 76 to 334 of the family's 1533-position model. The record is from RNAcentral. Lineage: Bacteria; Bacillati; Actinomycetota; Actinomycetes; Actinomycetales.
CGCUUUUGUGGGGUGCUCGAGUGGCGAACGGGUGAGUAACACGUGAGUAACCUGCCCUUGACUUUGGGAUAACUUCAGGAAACUGGGGCUAAUACCGGAUAGGAGCUCCUGCUGCAUGGUGGGGGUUGGAAAGUUUCGGCGGUUGGGGAUGGACCCGCGGCUUAUCAGCUUGUUGGUGGGGUAGUGGCUUACCAAGGCUUUGACGGGUAGCCGGCCUGAGAGGGUGACCGGCCACAUUGGGACUGAGAUACGGCCCAG